RNAcentral lists this ribosomal RNA (480 nucleotides) under uncultured bacterium. Its description in RNAcentral is "bacterial SSU rRNA". It matches the Rfam family "Bacterial small subunit ribosomal RNA", at positions 29 to 526 of the family's 1533-position model. The record is from RNAcentral.
AGUGAACGCUAGUGCUACGCUUAACACAUGUACGAGUCGAACGAAACCUAGAUUUGCAGUUUUAUGCGUCGUAAAAUGGUUUAGUGGCGAACGGGUGAGUAAAAUGUGAGAAUUUACCUAAUAGUUUGGGAUAUUUGUAUCGGGAGGUACAGGGAAUACCGAAUAAUAGACAAAAGAUUGAAUUUUCGCUAUUAGAUAAGCUGACAUAGUUUUAGGUAGUUGGUGGGAGUAAGAGCUUACCAAGCCGACAAUGCUUAGCUGAUAUGAAAGUAUGACCAGCCACAUUGGAACUGAGACACGGUCCAAGCUUCUACGGAGGACAGCAGUGGGGAAUCUUGGGCAAUGAGCUAAUGCUUGACCCAGCGAUAUCACGUGUACUUCGAAAGCCUUAUAUGGUUGUAAGGUACUACAGCAUGAAAAAUAACGACUUAAAGUGUCAAGAAGCCCUUACAAAUUUUGUGCCAGCAGCCGCCGUAAAAC